Molecule: non-coding RNA, 94 nt
Organism: Beta vulgaris subsp. vulgaris (sugar beet)
Lineage: Eukaryota; Viridiplantae; Streptophyta; Magnoliopsida; Caryophyllales; Amaranthaceae
Source: Rfam
GGUGCAGAUGAUGAAAAACUAGACAGGGACAUCAGAACUGUUAGGAGUAUCAAAUAUGAUGAUAUGUCUAAGAUGGGAAUCUCUUUGAUGCACU